UUCCUACGGGAGGCAGCAGUGGGGAAUUUUGCGCAAUGGGCGGAAGCCUGACGCAGCAAUACCGCGUGAGUGAUGAAGGCUCUCGGGUCGUAAAGCUCUGUCAGAGGGGAAGAACCUCCUGUCGCCUAAUAAGCGGCAGGCCUGACGGUACCCUCAGAGGAAGCACCGGCUAACUCCGUGCCAGCAGCCGCGGUAAUACGGAGGGUGCAAACGUUGUUCGGAAUUAUUGGGCGUAAAGAGCAUGUAGGCGGUUGUUUAAGUCUGAUGUGAAAGCCCUGGGCUCAACCCAGGAAGGGCAUUGGAUACUGGACAACUUGAGUACGGGAGAGGAAAGUGGAAUUUCGAGUGUAGGGGUGAAAUCCGUAGAUAUUCGAAGGAACACCAGUGGCGAAGGCGGCUUUCUGGACCGAUACUGACGCUGAGAUGCGAAAGCGUGGGGAGCAAACAGGAUUAGAUACCCUGGUAGUCCACGCCGUAAACGAUGGGUACUAGGUGUCGCGGGUAUUGACCCCUGCGGUGCCAAAGCUAACGCAUUAAGUACCCCGCCUGGGGAGUACGGCCGCAAGGCUAAAACUCAAAUGAAUUGACGGAA
RNAcentral lists this ribosomal RNA (592 nucleotides) under uncultured delta proteobacterium. Its description in RNAcentral is "bacterial SSU rRNA". It matches the Rfam family "Bacterial small subunit ribosomal RNA", at positions 336 to 918 of the family's 1533-position model. Lineage: Bacteria; Deltaproteobacteria. The record is from RNAcentral.